Molecule: ribosomal RNA, 433 nt
Filed under: Cytobacillus firmus
Lineage: Bacteria; Bacillati; Bacillota; Bacilli; Caryophanales; Bacillaceae
Description: bacterial SSU rRNA
Rfam family: Bacterial small subunit ribosomal RNA
Source: RNAcentral
CUUGACAUCUCCUGACACCCCUAGAGAUAGGGCGUUCCCCUUCGGGGGACAGGAUGACAGGUGGUGCAUGGUUGUCGUCAGCUCGUGUCGUGAGAUGUUGGGUUAAGUCCCGCAACGAGCGCAACCCUUGAUCUUAGUUGCCAGCAUUCAGUUGGGCACUUUAAGGUGACUGCCGGUGACAAACCGGAGGAAGGUGGGGAUGACGUCAAAUCAUCAUGCCCCUUAUGACCUGGGCUACACACGUGCUACAAUGGAUGGUACAAAGGGCUGCGAGACCGCGAGGUUAAGCGAAUCCCAUAAAACCAUUCUCAGUUCGGAUUGCAGGCUGCAACUCGCCUGCAGAAGCCGGAAUCGCUAGUAUCGCUGACAGCAUGCCGCGGUGAUCGUUCCCGGGCCUUGUAUAUCCGGCCCUGUCUCUACCUAACGGGAGGGC